RNAcentral lists this ribosomal RNA (1061 nucleotides) under Kribbella sp. UTMC 906. RNAcentral describes it as "bacterial SSU rRNA". It matches the Rfam family "Bacterial small subunit ribosomal RNA", at positions 370 to 1444 of the family's 1533-position model. The record is from RNAcentral. Lineage: Bacteria; Bacillati; Actinomycetota; Actinomycetes; Propionibacteriales; Kribbellaceae.
AAUGGACGAAAGUCUGACGCAGCAACGCCGCGUGAGGGAUGACGGCCUUCGGGUUGUAACCUCUUUCAGCAGGGACGAAGCGAGAGUGACGGUACCUGCAGAAGAAGGACCGGCCAACUACGUGCCAGCAGCCGCGGUAAUACGUAGGGUCCGAGCGUUGUCCGGAAUUAUUGGGCGUAAAGGGCUCGUAGGCGGUUCGUCACGUCGGGAGUGAAAACUCGGAGCUCAACUCCGAGCCUGCUUCCGAUACGGGCAGACUAGAGGUAGGCAGGGGAGAGCGGAACUCCUGGUGUAGCGGUGGAAUGCGCAGAUAUCAGGAAGAACACCGGUGGCGAAGGCGGCUCUCUGGGCCUUACCUGACGCUGAGGAGCGAAAGCGUGGGUAGCGAACAGGAUUAGAUACCCUGGUAGUCCACGCCGUAAACGUUGGGCGCUAGGUGUGGGGGACAUUCCACGUCCUCCGUGCCGCAGCUAACGCAUUAAGCGCCCCGCCUGGGGAGUACGGCCGCAAGGCUAAAACUCAAAGGAAUUGACGGGGGCCCGCACAAGCGGCGGAGCAUGCGGAUUAAUUCGAUGCAACGCGAAGAACCUUACCUGGGUUUGACAUAUAGGGAAAUCCUCCAGAGAUGGGGGGUCCGUAAGGGUCCUAUACAGGUGGUGCAUGGCUGUCGUCAGCUCGUGUCGUGAGAUGUUGGGUUAAGUCCCGCAACGAGCGCAACCCUCGUCCUAUGUUGCCAGCACGUUAUGGUGGGGACUCAUAGGAGACUGCCGGGGUCAACUCGGAGGAAGGUGGGGAUGACGUCAAGUCAUCAUGCCCCUUAUGUCCAGGGCUUCACGCAUGCUACAAUGGCCGGUACAAAGGGCUGCGAAACCGCAAGGUGGAGCGAAUCCCAAAAAGCCGGUCUCAGUUCGGAUUGGGGUCUGCAACUCGACCCCAUGAAGUCGGAGUCGCUAGUAAUCGCAGAUCAGCAACGCUGCGGUGAAUACGUUCCCGGGCCUUGUACACACCGCCCGUCACGUCAUGAAAGUCGGCAACACCCGAAGCCGGUGGCCUAACCCUUG